Long non-coding RNA from Amphibalanus amphitrite, 782 nucleotides. RefSeq lists it as uncharacterized. The record is from RefSeq and is a predicted model, not a curated record. The transcript is spliced from 2 exons. Lineage: Eukaryota; Metazoa; Arthropoda; Thecostraca; Balanomorpha; Balanidae.
ACAGUUAUCACACCAUUAUUGUGCAAAAAAUAAGGGUGGUUUAACGCGGCACUCUGCCAGCCACUUUUGGCUUCCAUAGACAUCAACAAGCCUAUGCCUCCAACACUACCAGAGGUUGACGCUAGCUCCACGGAAUGUGCUGGCAGCUGCUGGCAGCGCGCCCAUGAAACACAGCCAGGGGUUUCCUCUGUAAAGUCAUUAUUGUCUAGGUACAUGAGCCUUUAGCAAUUGUUAACAGCUAUAAAAAUUGGAAUUAGAAAUGUUCAGGUAUUAUCAGCAUCAGCUAAACAGGGAAGAGAAUUCGGCUACAGCCCAUCUUGCAACGCCUCAAUGAAAUUUAACGAGAAACUUAAAUUGAGGGAGCAGCUACAUAACUGAGAUCCCGAAAGAAGAUAACAGCUUGUUUUCUUCACCGCCACCAGUCUACCUGCUCUCUGCACACUCGGCAGAGCGCGGCAGGGCACCCCACGGAGCUGCACUAGUCACAUCCGGGCCCCACGCCGGUCGACGGCCGAUGCGCCGCUGGGAGGCCUGCGGCGCGGACGACGGAUGCGGCAGUUGGUCAAGACACGGCAGCCUACUCGAGGUGCUUCUCGCCUGGAGGACGCAGGCGAAUCGCGUUAUCCGAGCUGUGCCUCGUCAUGGUGCGAUGAGCCUUAAUAGACUAAUGCAUAUUCUUCCUUUGGCUGUAAUUCAUUUGCUGCUGCCCGCUGGGCUAAGGAGUAACUCUGGGCGCCUACUUUGGGCAGACGCUCGUCCAGUGCCGCUCUUCGUUUGCCGCA